UUCAUCUGAAGACUUGGCAAAGAAGAUAAACAAAAAAAGACACGAAAAGCAACGAUAUGCCUGCUUUCCUGAAUUUCGAAUGAAAAAAUUACAGGCUGUGAAAACUCAAUAUGCUCAAAACUGUCAUCGCCGUAAACAAAACUGUUGUCAGCCAAAGGUUAUUAUGCAAAUCCUCAUAUUCAAGAGAAGAUAAAAGCCCACAAAGUGAAGAGAUACCAAAAUGAUCCUCAUUUUCAACAAAAAAAGAGAGACUACAUUAUCAGAAGAUAUACCACAGAUGCCAGCUUUCGAACCAGACAGAAACAAUAUGUGUUCCGAAGGUACAACACGGAUGCUGACUUUCAAAGCAGACAGAAGCAAUAUCUGGUCCAAAGGUACAACACGGAUGCUGACUUUCAAAGCAGACAGAAGCAAUAUCUGGUCCAAAGGUACAACACGGAUGCUGACUUUCAAAGCAGACAGAAGCAAUAUCUGGUCCAAAGGUACAACACGGAUGCUGACUUUCAAAGCAGACAGAAAAAAUACAUAAGAACAAAAUAUGCAUCGGAUCCAAACUACAGGCACAAACAAAAAAAAUCAUUCAUGCCAGGUAUCAUAAUGACUCACAAUUCAGACUGCACCAUAUACAGCGCUGUGCAGAGUACCAGAGACACAAAUGGCUACCACUGCAUCUUUCGCCAUUUAUAAAAAGUUGUGUGCGCAGAGAAUAAAGAAGAAAUACAGACGACUAGUAACACAAUUCCAGCAGGGUCCACAGUCUGAAGCACAGCCCCAGCUUGUAGUGAAUAGUGUGAUGCAAGCAGCCACAUUAGCUUUCCGUGAAA
Molecule: long non-coding RNA, 824 nt
Organism: Oreochromis niloticus (Nile tilapia)
Lineage: Eukaryota; Metazoa; Chordata; Actinopteri; Cichliformes; Cichlidae
Exons: 2
Source: RefSeq, a predicted model, not a curated record